UCCCUCCCUGCCGUUAGUUAAUACAGUGCUGUGUUGGUGCUCUGAUGAGAGCCAUGGGGCCUUGCUGCCGUCCGGCCCCUUCUCCGCGCGUGAGCCAGAGCGUUGCCUGGCUCUCCACAAGGAGACACCCGCGGACCGCGAAUGCGAGAGGGAACCUAAACGUGCUCCCUGCAUCCUUCCAGCCCGAGCCAGGGCAGCUCUUCCUCCAUGCCAGACCGCUCCUCCUUGCUGUAGCACGACCAGCUAGUUACUCGUUCAAGACACAUAGGACGGUUACAGAAAGCAGCCUGGGACUCGAUGCCCCUAAAAGCAUAACGGGAAAAGAUGCUUUUAAAUGGUCUUACCUUUUUUUUUUUUGUGCAGUUUUUGACUCAGCACUAGUAAGUGUGAUGUCCCGGAGGCCCAGAGCCGGUCCGUCCGUACGGUGGGCUGUGCAGGGGACCCRUAUGAAGCUGGCCUGGUUCUUCCAGACCGUUUCCUACAUGCAUCUGGUGCUGCCUCGUGCUGGCGGUCCUGCUAGAGGACGCACGGCAGCUUGCUGAGAUYGGUUGCUUGUAGGAUGCUGCCAUAAUCCAUCCCAGCACAGUGAACCUGGCCCAAGCCUUUGCACGCUGCUCUCCUGUCUCUCCCUGGCUGGUGUUUAGACACCGCACGCUUCCAAGCUGCRAUGGGGAGAUGCUUGACUGGCGAUGAAAUUACCUUUAAAAAAAAUAUUUCUAAGCAAUUUCUUCAUUUAUUCCACACAUGCCAAGUCUCCUUUAUGCGUUCAGAAUAGUUAAAUUAAGGUUGCCUUUACCUGGGUAACGUCUUCCCCUGUCCUGUAGUGACAUUCUCCGCUCAGUUUGCUUUCCUUUCAGCAAAAUUGUACUCGAGUCAUCUAUUUGCACCCAUAAAAAUUAAAAAGUGCCACUUGCCAGUCCCACUCUAUUGUGUAAAUUACAGUCCUUGUCUCCAUUUGCCACCCUCUUCUGAGUUCUUCUGAUGGUAAUUUCUGCCCUGAACAGCUUCCUUUGUAAAUAAAGCAUGCACAUAUGGAUUGGGAAUGGUGCA
Molecule: long non-coding RNA, 1050 nt
Filed under: Dromaius novaehollandiae (emu)
Lineage: Eukaryota; Metazoa; Chordata; Aves; Casuariiformes; Dromaiidae
Description: lncRNA (ENSDNVG00000013105.1)
Source: RNAcentral